UUCCAUAUGACAAGCCUUUCAAUUCAUAAACAAUACUUAAACGACCCUUGACUAUGCAAAAUCAGAGUGUUGAAUAGAGUUCUGUGAUUGGUUCGCUUAUGUUACGCACUUCACUCCGCUAACUGACAUGACAUUCCUGUCAUUCAAACGGUGCAACGGUUUAUAAGUGUCGUUAUUUUGUGGAUUUGUGAAUUAAAUAAUAUAAAUAAAUAUGGAUAAAACUACAACUAUCAGGCUCACACAUCAACUGAAAAGCUGCUGGAAUAAUUUAAAGACCCAAAGAAUGAAAGAACUUUCUCAGGAAUCAAUCAAACGUUCUCAACACCCACUAGUAGGUAUCAAGAAAUUAAGAUUAGUAGUAGCAAGAAUGAAGAUUAAGACAGAAACAAGAAUCAAACGCACCACAUUGAAUAAUAUAUAACAAGACCAGGCUUUGCACGAGUUGGGGCUACAAAGAGAAAAAAUAUUGAUAGAAAGAGAAAACAAUUUGUUAGAACAUGAAAAAAAG
Ostrinia nubilalis (European corn borer) is the source of this 508-nucleotide long non-coding RNA. RefSeq lists it as uncharacterized. The transcript is spliced from 3 exons. The record is from RefSeq and is a predicted model, not a curated record. Lineage: Eukaryota; Metazoa; Arthropoda; Insecta; Lepidoptera; Crambidae.